UGGGGAAUAUUGCACAAUGGGCGCAAGCCUGAUGCAGCCAUGCCGCGUGUGUGAAGAAGGCCUUCGGGUUGUAAAGCACUUUCAGCGAGGAGGAAGGUGGUGAACUUAAUACGUUCAUCAAUUGACGUUACUCGCAGAAGAAGCACCGGCUAACUCCGUGCCAGCAGCCGCGGUAAUACGGAGGGUGCAAGCGUUAAUCGGAAUUACUGGGCGUAAAGCGCACGCAGGCGGUUUGUUAAGUCAGAUGUGAAAAUCCCCGGGCUCAACCUGGGAACUGCAUUUGAAACUGGCAAGCUAGAGUCUCGUAGAGGGGGGUAGAAUUCCAGGUGUAGCGGUGAAAUGCGUAGAGAUCUGGAGGAAUACCGGUGGCGAAGGCGGCCCCCUGGACGAAGACUGACGCUCAGGUGCGAAAAGCGUGGGGAGCAAAACAGGAUUAGAUACCCUGGUAGUCCACGCUGUAAACGAUGUCGAUUUUGGAGGUUGUGCCCUUGAGGCGUGGCUUCCGGAGCUAACGCGUUAAAUCGACCGCCUGGGGAGUACGGCCGCAAGGUU
This 552-nucleotide ribosomal RNA is filed under the name uncultured bacterium. RNAcentral describes it as "partial 16S ribosomal RNA". It matches the Rfam family "Bacterial small subunit ribosomal RNA", at positions 355 to 895 of the family's 1533-position model. The record is from RNAcentral.